This 1426-nucleotide long non-coding RNA is filed under the name Homo sapiens (human). RNAcentral describes it as "non-protein coding LINC00589:10". Lineage: Eukaryota; Metazoa; Chordata; Mammalia; Primates; Hominidae. The record is from RNAcentral.
GGACUACAGGUGUGCACCAUCAUGGCCAGCUAACUUUGUACUGUCUGUAGAGACGGAAUUUUGCUAUGUUACCCAGGCUGGUCUCAAACCCGAGGGCUCAAGCAAUCCUCCUGCCUCAGCCUCCCAAAGUCCUGGGAUUAAAGGCAUGAGUCACCAUGCCCAGCCAGUGGUUGAAACUCUUAUUAUGGCCAUUCUGCGGAUGAGAAGACUGAGUCAUCAGGAGGCAGGGCUUGCCAAGGUCACUGUGUUGGGGAAACACAGUCAGGAUAUGAACUCAGGCUCUUGGGGUCCCUGCUGGUCACUGUCACCCCGUGGCCCUUCUGAAGAAUGUCACAGGAAAGCAAAGCUGAGAGGGCCUCGUGAACUCAUCCAUGCCUGUCUCCCACACUGACCUGCACCUUUGGUCCCAGAGGUGCUUAUGAAAGACAGAUGCUCAGAUCCCUCCUUAGAGAGUCAGAUUCAGGAGGUCUGAUGUGAAUCCCAGAGACCUGGAAUUUUACUGAUGGCCCAGAUAAUUUUUAUGGUCAGAUACUGACCUAAUUCCACCCAGUUUCCCACUAAAUUUUGUAAGUGAGGAAAGCAAUGCAGAAGAGUUACAGGAAGGCCCAGUGUUACAUGCCCAGGUCAUGGCCCAGGGCCAAGCCAGCCCCAAAGGUGGGACCCUGGUUCUCUUAGCCUUCCCUGACACCUGUCACCCUGGCUGCUGCUCCAGGGAACCCUCUCUCGGGAGAAGCUUGAGCAAAUGUUGAUCUUCCCAGAACAGGGGUCUACAGAAUCCAGAGGUGUGGAAACAGUGGGAUGCUAAUAGCUGUUAGAAUUUUGGUUCAUCCAUAGAUCCAAACUUUGAAGCAUUGAGACAAAAGAUAGCUGUGCUUUGAUAGAGAAAAUAGAUAAGAAAAGGGUGUGAAAUCUGAGUGUCACAACAGAGGCAGAAGCAGAUGGAAACUAGGUUUCUGGAGUAGGGGAGGUGGGGACCAACUUUGUUUCUCCUGCUUUUACCUUGUCCUAGUUGGAAUCAUCUCUCCUCAUCCCAGUUACAAAGCCAGAGAGGAUUUACAGUCAAAGCAUCUACACCAGCAGUCCCUCUUACUGACACUGAUCAGACAGGGAGGUAGAACUGAUGGAAAACACAGCACAGCAUCAGAAGCAUAGCUUGGGAGCUUAUUAGCAGCAAAGUGCUGUUCUCUGCGGCAUUUUCUGGUGCUCCAGAAAUACAUCCCCUUGGAUGGAGAUACUACCGGGCCAUCUAAUGUGAAAUUUUCUGCUGGAGUGGUUAACGCUGGAGAUUUCCUUGAAAAACAUCGCCACUGAGAGAGGCUGGCUUCAAGUUUCAUAUAUAUGUAUAUGUAUCUGUGUGUGUGUGUGUGUAUGUGUGUGUCCAUGUGUGUGUAUAUAUAUUUUUAUAUAUAAAUACAUGUGUAUUUAU